GGAGAGGUGGCAGAGUGGUUGAAUGCGGCGGUCUCGAAAACCGUUUCGGGGGUAACCCCUCCGACGAGGGUUCGAAUCCCUCCCUCUCCGCCA
This 93-nucleotide transfer RNA is filed under the name Actinomycetes bacterium. Its description in RNAcentral is "Actinobacteria bacterium tRNA-Ser". It matches the Rfam family "tRNA". Rfam says of the family: Transfer RNA (tRNA) molecules are approximately 80 nucleotides in length. Their secondary structure includes four short double-helical elements and three loops (D, anti-codon, and T loops). RNAcentral also lists the same sequence under 1 other name. Lineage: Bacteria; Bacillati; Actinomycetota; Actinomycetes. The record is from RNAcentral.